Molecule: transfer RNA, 75 nt
Filed under: Podarcis lilfordi (Lilford's wall lizard)
Lineage: Eukaryota; Metazoa; Chordata; Lepidosauria; Squamata; Lacertidae
Description: tRNA.Ala
Rfam family: tRNA
About the family: Transfer RNA (tRNA) molecules are approximately 80 nucleotides in length. Their secondary structure includes four short double-helical elements and three loops (D, anti-codon, and T loops).
Source: RNAcentral
GGAAGGGCCAUAGCUCAGUGGUAGAGCAUCUGCUUUGCAUGCAGAAGGUCCCAGGUUCAAUCCCAGGCACCUCCA